This 301-nucleotide ribosomal RNA is filed under the name uncultured bacterium. Its description in RNAcentral is "partial 16S ribosomal RNA". It matches the Rfam family "Bacterial small subunit ribosomal RNA", at positions 509 to 807 of the family's 1533-position model. The record is from RNAcentral.
CAGCCGCCGCGGUAAAACGGAGGGUGCGAGCGUUGUCCGGAUUUAUUGGGUUUAAAGGGUGCGUAGGUGGCUUUAUAAGUCAGUGGUGAAAUACAGCCGCUCAACGGUUGAGGUGCCAUUGAUACUGUAGAGCUUGAAACAAUUGGAGGCUGCCGGAAUGGAUGGUGUAGCGGUGAAAUGCAUAGAUAUCAUCCAGAACACCGAUUGCGAAGGCAGGUGGCUACGUUUGAUUUGACACUGAGGCACGAAAGCAUGGGGAGCAAACAGGAUUAGAUACCCGUGUAGUCCCUGUCUCUUAUAC